This 222-nucleotide long non-coding RNA is filed under the name Bos taurus (domestic cattle). RNAcentral's name for it is "long non-coding RNA NONBTAT022951". Lineage: Eukaryota; Metazoa; Chordata; Mammalia; Artiodactyla; Bovidae. The record is from RNAcentral.
GCGGGUGAAUAGUUUUUAGAUGUUAUAAUGACAGCCAUAAAUUAUAGUUUAUGGGUAAGCUGUUCCACGCUGAUGCACUUAAGUAGCCAUCUGAUGGGCUUCUGCUAAAAAAAAUUAGGAUCCCCCACCCUCACCGCAGACUGUAUCCAGGAUUAUGUGGCUGCUGUUAAUAAGGGUAGCUGUUUGCUCUGGGGAGGUUAUAUCCUCCUGCUAGACACCCAC